CCAGACUCCUACGGGAGGCAGCAGUGGGGGAUAUUGCACAAUGGGGGAAACCCUGAUGCAGCGACGCCGCGUGGGUGAAGAAGUAUUUCGGUAUGUAAAGCCCUAUCAGCAGGGAAGAAGAAAGACGGUACCUGACUAAGAAGCCCCGGCUAACUACGUGCCAGCAGCCGCGGUAAUACGUAGGGGGCAAGCGUUAUCCGGAUUUACUGGGUGUAAAGGGAGCGUAGACGGCUGUGCAAGUCUGAAGUGAAAGCCCAGGGCUCAACCCUGGGACUGCUUUGGAAACUGUGGAGCUAGAGUGCUGGAGAGGUAAGUGGAAUUCCUAGUGUAGCGGUGAAAUGCGUAGAUAUUAGGAGGAACACCAGUGGCGAAGGCGACUUUCUGGACUGUACCUGACGCUGAGGCGCGAAAGCGUGGGUAGCGAACGGGAUUAGAUACCCCGGUACA
RNAcentral lists this ribosomal RNA (447 nucleotides) under uncultured bacterium. Its description in RNAcentral is "partial 16S ribosomal RNA". It matches the Rfam family "Bacterial small subunit ribosomal RNA", at positions 331 to 794 of the family's 1533-position model. The record is from RNAcentral.